This 253-nucleotide ribosomal RNA is filed under the name uncultured bacterium. Its description in RNAcentral is "partial 16S ribosomal RNA". It matches the Rfam family "Bacterial small subunit ribosomal RNA", at positions 524 to 776 of the family's 1533-position model. The record is from RNAcentral.
UACGAAGGGGGCUCGCGUUGCUCGGAAUCACUGGGCGUAAAGCGCACGUAGGCGGCUUUUUAAGUCAGGGGUGAAAUCCUGGAGCUCAACUCCAGAACUGCCUUUGAUACUGAGAAGCUUGAGUCCGGGAGAGGUGAGUGGAACUGCGAGUGUAGAGGUGAAAUUCGUAGAUAUUCGCAAGAACACCAGUGGCGAAGGCGGCUCACUGGCCCGGUACUGACGCUGAGGUGCGAAAGCGUGGGGAGCAAACAGG